RNAcentral lists this ribosomal RNA (439 nucleotides) under uncultured bacterium. Its description in RNAcentral is "partial 16S ribosomal RNA". It matches the Rfam family "Bacterial small subunit ribosomal RNA", at positions 339 to 795 of the family's 1533-position model. The record is from RNAcentral.
CUACGGGUCGCUGCAGUGGGGAAUCUUAGACAAUGGGCGCAAGCCUGAUCUAGCCAUGCCGCGUGAGUGACGAAGGCCUUAGGGUCGUAAAGCUCUUUCGCUGGGGAAGAUAAUGACGGUACCCAGUAAAGAAACCCCGGCUAACUCCGUGCCAGCAGCCGCGGUAAUACGGAGGGGGUUAGCGUUGUUCGGAAUUACUGGGCGUAAAGCGCGCGUAGGCGGAUCAGAAAGUUGGGGGUGAAAUCCCGGGGCUCAACCCCGGAACUGCCUUCAAAACUCCUGGUCUUGAGUUCGAGGGAGGUGAGUGGAAUUCCGAGUGUAGAGGUGAAAUUCGUAGAUAUUCGGAGGAACACCAGUGGCGAAGGCGGCUCACUGGCUCGAUACUGACGCUGAGGUGCGAAAGCGUGGGGAGCAAACAGGAUUAGAUACCCGCGUAGUC